This 406-nucleotide ribosomal RNA is filed under the name uncultured bacterium. RNAcentral describes it as "partial 16S ribosomal RNA". It matches the Rfam family "Bacterial small subunit ribosomal RNA", at positions 30 to 526 of the family's 1533-position model. The record is from RNAcentral.
AUUGAACGCUGGCGGCAGGCCUAACACAUGCAAGUCGAACGAGCGGCGGACGGGUGAGUAAUGUCUGGGAAUCUGCCUGAUGGAGGGGGAUAACUACUGGAAACGGUAGCUAAUACCGCAUACCAUCAGAUGGGCCCAGAUGGGAUUAGCUAGUUGGUGGGGUAAAGGCUCACCAAGGCGACGAUCCCUAGCUGGUCUGAGAGGAUGACCAGCCACACUGGAACUGAGACACGGGCCAGACGCCUACGGGAGGCAGCAGUGGGGAAUAUUGCACAAUGGGCGAAAGCCUGAUGCAGCCAUGCCGCGUGUAUGAAGAAGGCCGUCGGGUUGUAAAGUACUUUCAGCGGGGAGGCGUUACCCGCAGAAGAAGCACCGGCUAACUCCGUGCCAGCAGCCGCGGUAAUUC